AAGCCUAUACCUUUCUGAUUCAGUUUCAAAAAUUCAAAGUCUUUCGAAACAGGUAUGUUAAUAUUACCUAAUGAUAAUUUAGUCGAAAAAGUUAACAAUUGUUGUGUUUGAAUUAUAUAUGAAGUGAAUGGAGAUAAAGGAGGAAAAGACGAGACAAAUUCAAAACCCACCAGGUUUUACUUUUAGGUAAGCAAUUCUUUUUUCUUGCUUUCUUUAUAGUGACAUACAUUUUUGGUACUUAAUUUUAAUUAUAUAUUUCGGUUUUGGUCCCUAAAGGAAUCGGGUUAUAAUUCAACCCUUUUUUGGAGUUUUUCAAUGAUUUUGAUCCAUAUUUCAUAAGAAAUGAUCAUGUUGCCCUUUAAUUGUUUUUUUACAAAUACUUCUUAUCAUAUAGUGUUUAGCUCAUAAUAACUUCAAUUCCAGAACUUGAAGCUUCUCUAGGAGUAGUAGCAUAGCUAGAGCACAAUAACAUGAUGUGACAAAAGUUCGUUUUAAGGAAUGUCAAGGUUUUGCAUAAUAUGGUGUUGGAGGGUAAUAUUAGAAAAAUAUUGGUUUCUUAAUUUGUAUUUGAUUGGGAGUGGUUUUUUUUUCUUUUGUAGUCACUUGUUGAUGGAUUACAUGCACAUAAGGAUUUUGCUUAUGAUAUCCUUAUGUUGAGUGGUA
Molecule: long non-coding RNA, 663 nt
Filed under: Lactuca sativa (garden lettuce)
Lineage: Eukaryota; Viridiplantae; Streptophyta; Magnoliopsida; Asterales; Asteraceae
Description: long non-coding RNA (LSAT_LNC007906)
Source: RNAcentral